GCAGCAGGCGCGAAACCUUUACACUGCACGAAAGUGUGAUAAGGGAAUCCUAAGUGCUCAUGCACAGCAUGGGCUUUUGCCAAGUGUAAAUAGCUUGGAGAAUAAGUGGUGGGUAAGACUGGUGCCAGCAGCCGCGGUAACCCCAGCGCCACAAGUGGCAACCACAUUUACUUGGUCUAAAGCGUCCGUAGCUGGUUAUGUAAAUCUUUUGUGAAAUUGUCAAGCUUAACUUGACAGCGCGCAAAAGACACUGCAAAACUUGAGACCGGGAGAGGUUAGGAGUAUUUCUUGGGGACCGGUAAAAUGGGAUAAUCCAAGAAAGACUACCAGUGGCGAAGGCGCCUAACCAGAACGGUUCUGACAGUGAGGGACGAAGGCUAGGGGAGCGAACCGGAUUAGAUACCCGAGUAGUCCUAGCAGUAAACGCUGUGAAUUAGGUGUUGCACAACUUAUCAAGGUUGUGCAGUGUCGAAGAGAAGUCGUUAAAUUCACCACCUGGGAAGUAUGGUCGCAAGACUGAAACUUAAAGGAAUUGGCGGGGGAGCAC
This 547-nucleotide ribosomal RNA is filed under the name uncultured archaeon. Its description in RNAcentral is "bacterial SSU rRNA". It matches the Rfam family "Archaeal small subunit ribosomal RNA", at positions 332 to 879 of the family's 1478-position model. The record is from RNAcentral.